GUGCUUAACACAUGCAAGUCGAACGUGAAAACCUUCGGGUGAGUAAAGUGGCGUACGGGUGAGUAACACGCAGGUAACGUACCUUAAAGUUUGGAAUAACCCGUCGAAAGAUGGGCUAAUACCGGAUAGAGCGAAAAGUACGUGAGGUAUUUUUCGGGAAAGGGAGCUGGCAACAGCCCUCGCUUUAGGAUCGGCCUGCGCCUCAUUAGCUUGUUGGUGGGGUAAAAGCCUACCAAGGCUAUGAUGAGUAGCUGGUCUAAGAGGAUGACCAGCCACACUGGAACUGAAACACGGUCCAGACUCCUACGGGAGGCAGCAGUGGGGAAUUUUGCGCAAUGGACGCAAGUCUGACGCAGCCACGCCGCGUGAGUGAAGAAGGCCUUCGGGUUGUAAAGCUCUGUCGUGGGGGAUAAAAAAAUGCAGGUUAAUAGCCUGUAGAUUGAUAGUACCCCAAAAGGAAGCACCGGCUAACUCCGUGCCAGCAGCCGCGGUAAUACGGAGGGUGCAAGCGUUGCUCGGAAUUACUGGGCGUAAAGGGGAAGUAGGUGGUCUUGCUUGUCCGAUGUGAAAGCCCGGGGCUUAACCCCGGAAGUGCAUUGGAAACGGCAAGACUAGAGUCCUGGAGAGGGUCGCGGAAUUCCCGGUGUAGCGGUGAAAUGCGUAGAGAUCGGGAGGAACAUCAGAGGCGAAGGCGCGGCCUGGACAGGUACUGACACUCAAUUCCGAAAGCGUGGGUAGCAAACAGGAUUAGAUACCCUGGUAGUCCACGCCGUAAACGAUGGGCACUAGAUUUGACGGGACUUGACCCCUGUUGAGUCGCAGCUAACGCAUUAAGUGCCCCGCCUGGGGAGUACGGCCGCAAGGCUAAAACUCAAAGGAAUUGACGGGGGCCCGCACAAGCGGUGGAUCAUGUGGUUUAAUUCGAAGCAACGCGAAGAACCUUACCUGGGUUUGACAUCCUUCGACAGCUCUGGAGACAGAGUCUUUGUAGCAAUACAACGGGGUGACAGGUGCUGCAUGGCUGUCGUCAGCUCGUGUGGUGACAUGUUGGGUUAAGUCCCGCAACGAGCGCAACCCCUAUCUUUAGUUGCCAUCAUUUAGUUGGGCACUCUAGGGAGACUGCCGUGGUGAACACGGAGGAAGGUGGGGAUGACGUCAAGUCCUCAUGGCCCUUACGCCCAGGGCAACACACGUGAUACAAUGGCUGGUACAAAGGGAUGCCAAACCGCAAGGUGGAGCCAAUCCCAAAAAGCCAGUCUCAGUUCGGAUUGAAGUCUGCAAUUCGACUUCAUGAAGUUGGAAUCGCUAGUAAUCGCGGAUUAGCACGCCGCGGUGAAUACGUUCCCGGGCCUUGUACACACCGCCCGUCACACCAUGGAAGCUGACUCAACCAGAAGACGGACAGCCUGACUUCGGAGGGCACUGUCGAAGGUGGGGUUGGUGACUGGGGUGAAGUCGUAACAAG
RNAcentral lists this ribosomal RNA (1465 nucleotides) under metagenome. Its description in RNAcentral is "bacterial SSU rRNA". It matches the Rfam family "Bacterial small subunit ribosomal RNA". The record is from RNAcentral.